CCUACGGGAGACAGCAGUGAGGAAUAUUGGUCAAUGGGCGCGAGCCUGAACCAGCCAAGUAGCGUGAAGGAUGACUGCCCUACGGGUUGUAAACUUCUUUUAUAAAGGAAUAAAGUGAGGCACGUGUGCCUUUUUGUAUGUACUUUAUGAAUAAGGAUCGGCUAACUCCGUGCCAGCAGCCGCGGUAAUACGGAGGAUCCGAGCGGUAUCCGGAUUGAUUGGCUGUAAAGGGAGCGUAGAUGGGUUGAUAAGUCAGUUGUGAAAGUUUGCGGCUCAACCGUAAAAUUGCAAUUGAUACUGGCAGCCUUGAGUACAGUUGAGGUAGGCGGAAUUCGUUGUGUAGCGGUGAAAUGCUUAGAUAUCACGAAGAACUCCGAUUGCGAAGGCAGCUUACUAAACUGCCACUGACAUUGAUGCUCGAAAGUGUGGGUAUCAAACAGGAUUAGAUACCCGGGUAGUC
This 460-nucleotide ribosomal RNA is filed under the name uncultured bacterium. RNAcentral's name for it is "partial 16S ribosomal RNA". It matches the Rfam family "Bacterial small subunit ribosomal RNA", at positions 338 to 795 of the family's 1533-position model. The record is from RNAcentral.